Molecule: ribosomal RNA, 441 nt
Filed under: uncultured bacterium
Lineage: Bacteria
Description: partial 16S ribosomal RNA
Rfam family: Bacterial small subunit ribosomal RNA
Source: RNAcentral
CCUACGGGAGGCAGCAGUGGGGAAUAUUGCACAAUGGGGGCAACCCUGAUGCAGCGACGCCGCGUGAGUGAAGAAGUAUUUCGGUAUGUAAAGCUCUAUCAGCAGGGAAGAAGAAAGACGGUACCUGACUAAGAAGCCCCGGCUAACUACGUGCCAGCAGCCGCGGUAAUACGUAGGGGGGAAGCGUUAUCCGGAUUUACUGGGUGGAAAGGGAGUGUAGACGGCGGUGCAAGUCUGAAGUGAAAGCCCAGGGCUCAACCCUGGGACUGCUUUGGAAACUGUGGAGCUAGAGUGCUGGAGAGGUAAGUGGAAUUCCUAGUGUAGCGGUGAAAUGCGUAGAUAUUAGGAGGAACACCAGUGGCGAAGGCGGCUUACUGGACAGUAACUGACGUUGAGGCUCGAAAGCGUGGGGAGCAAACAGGAUUAGAUACCCUUGUAGUG